Vicugna pacos (alpaca) is the source of this 220-nucleotide non-coding RNA. The record is from RefSeq and is a predicted model, not a curated record. Lineage: Eukaryota; Metazoa; Chordata; Mammalia; Artiodactyla; Camelidae.
GAUGCUCUUCCGAUGUGGGAAGCGGUGCAGAUGACAAAGAUAAGGGACAAAAUCCAGGCUCACGCAAAGUGCCAUGGAACCCAAGGAGCAGGGGUAAUGGGUGAGGAGGAGCAGGGAGGCAGAGCAGUGGCUUCUGGGCUAGAACUUAAAGAACAUAAGGAAGAGUGGAGAUCGGAUACAUUCCAGGUGGGAACAACAUAAGCUAAGCCAUUUAGGGUCA